Spinacia oleracea (spinach) is the source of this 2131-nucleotide long non-coding RNA. RefSeq lists it as uncharacterized. NCBI's taxonomy places the organism in Eukaryota, Viridiplantae, Streptophyta, Magnoliopsida, Caryophyllales, Amaranthaceae. The record is from RefSeq and is a predicted model, not a curated record. The transcript has 2 exons.
AGUGGUUUGUACUACUUGUAUUUAGAUUUACGGAUUUUUCAUGAAAUACCCCUGAAUUUUUGCAAAAUUCACCAAAUGCCCCUCGACUUUCAGAAAUUCACCAAAUGCCCUCCACUUUUUAACAAAUACACAAGAUACCCUUAAUGAGCAUUUUCUGUCAAUUCUGUUAGAUUACCGUCAACUUUACCCCUAAUUAACUCUAUUAUUCCUAACUUAUCUAAUUAUCCUAAUUAAAUUAAAAAUAGAAAAUAAAAAAUCCCUUGUGUUUUUCUCUCUCUACCGUUCAUUCUCUUUCCCAAAUGAAAACCAUGGCAGCCAUGGCAGUCACCACCAUGGUCAUCCCCUUUCUCUCUCCUCAUCCCCUUCACUACCCCUAUUCCUAUUCCUCUCCCCUUCACCAACCUAUGAAAAUAAACAGACCCAAUUCGCAGAGCCUUAUAUACGGGAUUUGAUCUGGUGCAUCACAACUCCAUCAAACAAGGUCUUCAUCCCUCUGAUUGUAUCAUCACCAUCGUUAAUCGUGAAUUUCCAUAUGUUGUUGUUUUCAUGGUUGUUGCUUAUAAGUUUGCGGUGGUGAAUAUGUUGCCAGAAACUGUAACAGUGAUACUAAAAUUGGAGGUGGGGCUGCAUUGAAGACCCGCUUGCCGCGGCUGUUACGGCUGUGCUCCGAUCGAUUUUCGUCUUCCCCUGCUUUUUCCGCCGAUGCACCUCCUCUCCUUCUCAAUUUUUCGGCACCGCCGCAGCAGGGAAAGAGGAGAGGAAGCUCAGAAAAUCAGAGAAGUUGCAGAGGCAGGCACAUGCGAGGUAGGAGACGACAGUAGACAUAUCGAUGGUGUGGCAGGGAUUAGACAUCCAUGGAAGAAGGAGAAAGGGAAGAUCCAUGGAAGAAAGAGAAAGGGAAGAUAAAAGGGGCGAGGAGGAAGGUUAGUGGUGGGUUGGCAGUUGAUUUUUUUAAUAGUAAAUUAGAUUAAUUAGGAGUUAAUUAGUUUAGUUAAGAAAAAAGUUAACGGAAAAGUUAACGGAGCUGACGGAAAAUCUUCAUUAAUGGCAUAUUGUGUAUUAAGUUUAUGAAUAAGGGUAUCUUGUGCAUUUGUUAAAAAGUGGAGGGCAUUUGGUGAAUUUCUGAAAGUCGGGGGGCAUUUGGUGAAUUUUGCAAAAAUUCAGGGGUAUUUCAUGAAAAAUCCGUUAGAUUUAAGUUUCUUUAGGGCUCAAAGAAUAUCUUCUCAAAAAUUUUCUCUCUCCUCUUCAUCUACUCUUCCAUUACUUAUCCUAAUCUCUACAGUCAUAUUGUAGUACAGACUACCUCCAUACUUAGGGCUCCUCUUACAGUGCAUCAAGUUUCUAUUGUGUUUGAAACUUUCAAAGACGCUUAUGAUUGGUAUUAGCGUAGCAAUAUUGAGUACAUGAUCCAUGUAUAGGAUGUGAGUAGGGUUGUCAAAACCUAACCUAAUCCAACUCAUUUCUGACAAAAAUCGAAUAACCGACUUGUAACCGACCGAUGACCCGAUUUGAUAGCCUUAGAUGUGAGCGCCACGAGUUUUUGUGCAUGGACUAGGGCCCGCACAAAUCUGGACCUUAUGCUGAAUCAUCUAUACCAAGCCUCAACAUCGAGGGCAUAGGCAAGGUUCAAUUUGCCCCAAUUGCGAAUUCCAUUUUUUUAUUUUGCCAAGUACUAAACAUAUUUUCCAACGUGGCACAGAAGUUGGAAAAUUUUGACAAAAUUACAAAAAAAAUUGCACGAAUUAGGGAUAAAAUAUACUUUUACACUAUACUAAGAUAACUUUUAAACAUCUUUAUUUAAAUUUUACUUCAAUGUACCAUAUUUGUUAUAAAAAAUCUGUGCUAAUUUUAUAGUUCGUACUUCUUGUUUAUCAGUGGCGCGGUAUUACAAGUGUGCGUGUCUAGAAUGGUUCAAAAUGGCAACUUCUUUUUGCAAUUUGUGCCGCUGCUAACCUCCAAUACCUUUUCUACUGCAAUUUAUUUCUAGUAGUGUUAGUGUAGACUACUAUUCUGGUCAUCAAGUUGGUUUUUUACAGUUGUACUGCAAUCUAUAUUUAUGUUUCAUGAUAUUGUACGAACAUUUGUACUGCAUUUGAUUUUGAAUAAUGCAUUAAUUCCUAUAUUAUUUUCA